RNAcentral lists this ribosomal RNA (253 nucleotides) under uncultured bacterium. Its description in RNAcentral is "partial 16S ribosomal RNA". It matches the Rfam family "Bacterial small subunit ribosomal RNA", at positions 524 to 776 of the family's 1533-position model. The record is from RNAcentral.
GACGAACCGUGCGAACGUUGUUCGGAUUCACUGGGCUUAAAGGGCGCGUAGGCGGGCACGCCAGUCGGUGGUGAAAUCCCCCGGCCCAACCGGGGAACGGCCUCCGAUACUGCGUGCCUCGAGGGGGGUAGGGGUCGACGGAACUUCCGGUGGAGCGGUGAAAUGCGUAGAUAUCGGAAGGAACGCCGGUGGCGAAAGCGGUCGACUGGACCCCUUCUGACGCUGAGGCGCGAAAGCCAGGGGAGCAAACAGG